Monodelphis domestica (gray short-tailed opossum) is the source of this 738-nucleotide long non-coding RNA. RefSeq lists it as uncharacterized. NCBI's taxonomy places the organism in Eukaryota, Metazoa, Chordata, Mammalia, Didelphimorphia, Didelphidae. The record is from RefSeq and is a predicted model, not a curated record.
AGAAUCUCUUUACAGACGAUACUUUGGUUCCUUCAACCAAAUCAUUCAAGUAAUAUUUCAACUUGCUUGUUCUCGAGAGGCAAUGUGGGUAGAAAAUAAAUAGGAGGUUCACUACCAGGGUGGCAUCAAAAUGUGAAACCUUUUGGUCACCGCGACUCGCCAAGACUCUCUGUGUUGCCUUGACAAAUCACUUAAACCCAGUCGCUUUCCUCACCUGUGAAAUGAAGGCUUUGGAUUAGGCUUCCACGCUCCUUUCCUGCACUGGAUCUGUGAGUCAAUGAUUCUAGUGAUACACAGAAGUUCUACAACCUGCCUCUGUGAAAGGAGAACACGUAUCAAUACAAUUCUCAAUCUGAGGGUAAAUUAAGGUAAACAAUGAAAUUGCAGUGAGAUUGGAACAUUCUGGAAUACCUAUGAUAUAUACAUCGGGGGAAAUUACAAAGGAAUAAUAAGAACACAAGAACAAAGCCUGGGUGCCAUCAUUUAGGUGAUGUGAUUUGAAAACUAUGCAUGGAAGAACCUUCUGCAAAAUGAUGACAUCCUACAUCCUGAAAUUUCCAACAUUAGUCAUGCCUGUAAGUCUGGACGCAAUCAUUAAAAAUUCAGAACUAUUGUCUGUUCAAGAUUUGUUUCCGUGAGGAGGUGAAGGAAGUCAUGUCCACCAAAGCUGAAGAUAAGUGCCACUACAUCCUUGUUCCAUAUUCUUGCUGUGUUAAGGUAAAGUAGACCUCUUUUUUG